Poecilia latipinna (sailfin molly) is the source of this 2607-nucleotide long non-coding RNA. RefSeq lists it as uncharacterized. Lineage: Eukaryota; Metazoa; Chordata; Actinopteri; Cyprinodontiformes; Poeciliidae. The record is from RefSeq and is a predicted model, not a curated record. The transcript is spliced from 2 exons.
UUUAUGAAUAAUAAAUGCCCCUGCACUGAGCCAGAGCCUUUAAUUUGCAUAUCAGCACAGCCUUAGUGCGCGCGUUACUGUGAGCCCUUCCAGCCUGCAUAAAAACCAGAAUCAGAGAGAAAAAGUGCCUUAACAGACAAUGCUGCUGGAGGGAACGGACAAUCAACAUGUGUCUGCAGCGCGACAGGCUUGUUUCUGAGUGUCCAGGGUCAGCUCCCCAAGGGAACGCUCCAAAGGACUGCAGUGACCUGCCAACACUUCUCCCCCGUCAUCCUGCAAGCGAGAGGUCAAAGACGAUGUCUGAGGCGGCGGCGGAUCAAUGUGUGACCUUCUCACUUAUAAUCAGGAUUAGGGCAAUUGACCCUUUCAGAUUUUUUCUAAUGUUCUGAAGAUGAUUUUAUUUUUCAGGGAAAUGUGAUGCAUUGCUUUGAAGUAACGAGAACUAUUUAAGUUAUAUUAGUGAAGUAAUUUGUUUCUUGUGAGGCAAGACCAAAGAUAUGAACAGAGCAAAACAAAUAUUGUAAAUUUGUUCCCUUACCAAUAUCAACAAGGUAAAACUUUGCAGGUAAACUAAACUGAUGCACUAAUCUAUCUAGAUUAAAAGAAAAUAAUCAGCAGGUGGACAAAUGAAUUUAGCUGGUCUCUAGAACUAAGAUUAGUUUUAUAUAUGUUCUAUUUCACAGUUUCCAAAGACACCCAACUACGUGAAUAUAUCAGAAACAUCAGCUGGCUUUAAAGCUAUGUGAACCAGAAGUUUAACUACUACAUGAAUGCAAGUUGCAUUAUUUUCCUAAUAAAAUAUAACAGUGAAAAUUAGCUUCACCAAGCUUGAAGCACGUAGAGGAGAGAAGUGGGGAGAAAAAAAGCAAUUGCCAGUUCCACAUUUUUCUUAAAGUGUAUGGGUAGAAUAAAAUGAUUUUUUUUAAAUAAUAUGUAUUUUAUUGAUAUUAUAUUGACAUUGGAGAUACCUAAAAAGGAAAACCCCCUCAAAAGGCAACAACACUAUGUGCACACUGCAGCACCUUUGUUCUAGUUCAAGUCCCGCAUUCACUAAAGUGCCAAAAAUCCUCCUAAUGAACGGUCAUCCGGAGUGCUGCAUAAACGACAACAACAUCACACGGCGUUCCAUAUCAAAAGAUCCCAUCUACUCUCAUCCUUCCACUGGCUCAAUCCGUGGCCCGUUCUCUGGACACAUUAUUACCGUCAUCAUUUUAACAUGAAAGGGAGGAAACAAGUGCUGCACCACUACCAAGGAGACACCUUGAUCCCAGAGCAUUUGCAUUCGCCACCUUGUUCCGCCUGAUGUAUGAACGAGUUAGCGCUGGGCUCUGUGAUUGGCCGGCGCUGAAAAGCAGAAGCAGGCACUCUGCUAAUGCUGCAUAUGUUGUUCCCCCUUCCCCCCCCUUCUUCCACACUGUGUCACACUCAGGCGGUGGCACUAGAGGGCAGUCCACCCUGUUGCUUUUUGUUGUGGAGGAGGCAGACACGGUUGGACUCACACUGAGGGAAUGAUCUUUUAAAAUAUUUUUGUCAAUUCCAUGAAAAAUUAGCUAGGGAUUUUUGGAAAUCAGUGGUUUGACAAUUACGUCUGGACCGGACGGUUUAUCCUCACUUGAGUGCUGGGAAGGAAAACUCGUCAGUUGGUUUUCGUCAACAGGAAAACUCUGUUAGUUCAUGCAAUGUGAAUAUACAUUGCAUGGCAACAAGGAUGCUUUCCAAAAGCUUUUAAAGACAGCCUUUUAUUUUAAAGAGAUAGGAUAAUGCUCUCACACACACGCACACACACAGCUGGACUGCUGCUUUCUGUCUCUGGCGCAGUCAUUCAGGAGGCUGCUAAUUAAAGACACACAACAAUGAAGCGUGGAAACCCCAAAGCAACAGUGUUAAUCAGAGAGAGAAAAAAAAAAAGGUAAGAGCAGUAGUGAUUACAGUGAGACCGUUUCAGCAGACCUCAGAUUUGAUCUAAGUGGCGAUUUUAAUAUAGUUCAUAAGGACUUCUUGUCCAUUUCUUUCCCCGUCUGCCAGAAGGUGGUUGAGUCCGAGACAAAUCCAGAAAGCUUUAUUACUGGAUGAGUUCUGGGAAAGAAGCGUUUGCUUCAACUUAUUUGAUGAUAUUAAAUCAUCAUCAAACACUCUAUUGUUUCAGAUCAUUGUAAAAAUAUUCUGCUGUUGACUUUGCGUCAUAACUUUUGUUGCUCCCAACCGUUCGAACACAAAACAAAGACAAUUUAAUUACUGUUUUAUAUACAACAUUGAAACGGUUUUUUAAAAACAUAGUCAUGACAUUUAUUUUUAAGGUUGCAUAUAAAGCACUUGUCAUUGUAUAUCAACACUACUCUAAUACUUUCUACUUGUUGCCUACAGCUGCCAUUACUACUUUCAUUGAUAUCUCCAAUGCCUCUGUUUGUUUAAAAAUACUUCAACUUCUAUUACAAUUUUUAAACAGAUUCAUCAGUUGACUAUAAUUAUUUUUGAUUUCUUUUAGCAACCUGUGACAGAGUUCUGCCCUGUGUCUCUGCAUGCUUUUUCUCAGAUCUCUGCAAAAAUGACAAAUAAAAACCUUGAACCUUCUAUAUUUUACCAUUAAAACGAAAUGUCCACUGUGGA